GACGAACGCUGGCGGCGUGCUUUAUACAUGCAAGUCGAACGAUGAAGUUACUUCGGUAAUGGAUUAGUGGCGAACGGGUGAGGAACACGUGAAGAAUCUGCCCCUCAUUUUGGGAUAACUUCGGGAAACCGAGGCUAAUACCGAAUAUUGAAACAUAAGUGGCAUCACUGAGUUUUGAAAGUUUUUCGAUGAGGGAUGACUUCGCGGCCUAUCAGCUAGUUGGUGAGGUAACGGCUCACCAAGGCAACGA
RNAcentral lists this ribosomal RNA (250 nucleotides) under uncultured bacterium. RNAcentral describes it as "partial 16S ribosomal RNA". It matches the Rfam family "Bacterial small subunit ribosomal RNA", at positions 28 to 279 of the family's 1533-position model. The record is from RNAcentral.